RNAcentral lists this transfer RNA (84 nucleotides) under Streptomyces mutabilis. Lineage: Bacteria; Bacillati; Actinomycetota; Actinomycetes; Kitasatosporales; Streptomycetaceae. The record is from RNAcentral.
GCGGCGAAGCGACCGCCCGGCAGGUCCCGGAGACCGGCACGGGGCAGACCCUCGAGUCCGCCCCGAAGCCGUCCGGCGCCUCCG